RNAcentral lists this non-coding RNA (82 nucleotides) under bovine gut metagenome. RNAcentral describes it as "TPP riboswitch (THI element)". It matches the Rfam family "TPP riboswitch aptamer (THI element)", at positions 8 to 91 of the family's 105-position model. From Rfam's summary of the family: Vitamin B(1) in its active form thiamin pyrophosphate (TPP) is an essential coenzyme that is synthesised by coupling of pyrimidine and thiazole moieties in bacteria. The previously detected thiamin-regulatory element, thi box was extended, resulting in a new, highly conserved RNA secondary structure, the THI element, which is widely distributed in eubacteria and also occurs in some archaea. Analysis of operon structures identified a large number of new candidate thiamin-regulated genes, mostly transporters, in various prokaryotic organisms. The record is from RNAcentral.
UUGGGGGGUGCCAUUCCUAAAUGGCUGAGAACAUACCCAUAGAAUCUGAACCGGAUAAUGCCGGCGUAGAGAACAAAACUUA